GGCUGCCUGGCGAAAUGGUAUCGCGUCACUUUCCGGUACUGGAAUAUGGUGAAGAUUGCGGGUUCGAGUCCCGUGGUGGUCG
Molecule: transfer RNA, 82 nt
Filed under: Hypoxylon trugodes
Lineage: Eukaryota; Fungi; Ascomycota; Sordariomycetes; Xylariales; Hypoxylaceae
Description: tRNA-Arg
Rfam family: tRNA
About the family: Transfer RNA (tRNA) molecules are approximately 80 nucleotides in length.
Source: RNAcentral